RNAcentral lists this transfer-messenger RNA (419 nucleotides) under Patescibacteria group. Its description in RNAcentral is "2-02-FULL-37-13 sp001782195 Standard tmRNA". It matches the Rfam family "transfer-messenger RNA". From Rfam's summary of the family: Bacterial tmRNA, also known as 10Sa RNA or SsrA, is named for its dual tRNA and mRNA-like properties. Its role is to liberate the mRNA from a stalled ribosome. The record is from RNAcentral. RNAcentral also lists the same sequence under 3 other names.
GGGGAUGCAUUGCAUCGACGAGAAAUGCACAUUAAAAAACGCAAGCCGACUUUGAUUUAAGUCGUUAAACAUGAUCGAAAUAUAAAUGCUGUUAAUACCAGCAGAGAGGCACUCUUAGCAGAAGCACGAGCAAUUCGUGAUAUGCUCGGAAUGUCUUCUAGACAACCAGCUUUUGCAUAUUCUGCUUAAGCUUAAGUCUUGUUUGUAAAGUCUUUUCUCAACGGGAUUUUAUAAGCACAAACACAGUUGAGAAAUAGUAAGGAAAGUUGGUUUCUGUCCUUAUCGUAUUUAUCAACCUUGACGCUAUUAAUUCUUGUUGAUUAGAAAAAAAUAGCGCGACUCUAAAAUAAUCAACUAAGCUUGUAGACGUUUUUAAUAUAGUUUCUUGGACUCGAGCUCACUGCUCGACAUCUCCACAC